CUAUGUAGGUAAACACUGAAGCACCUCUGACUUUAUUCUUGGUUCUUUCAUGAUAUCGGUCAAUAACAAGUAGUGCCCAUUAACAGAUUAGAUGGGUGUCCAUGGGUCUAAGACAUCAUUUAACAUUGGCACUCUAUGUUUAAUGAACGGCAUAAAUUAGAAUGGGGAUGACAUGGUUUGAUCAAUAUGGCAAUCAGGGUUAAAGCCAAUAGUCUACAGGAGCAGUGAGCUCUGGGAGGACCUUGACUCUGAUGAUGGCUGUCCUGUCCUAAACACAGACUGUAGCUCAGAGUCUCUGUUUGUGUUCGGCCCCGGAUCUGCUUUCAUACAGAGGCAGCCCAGGUGUGCACUAGGACUGGGACACCUGGUUGCAUUGCUAAUUAGUCUGGCCGUGUGCCCGCCUGCAUACCUCAACCUUACGGUCAUCGAAGCCUGAUUGGCACUGGCAGACCUACUGUGGUUGGCUUCAUAGUGAAGUAUCACUUAUUCCAUAUUGGGGUUGUCCCGGGUCCACUUGCAGCUUUCACCCAUGGCUAGCUGCACUCCACUCCUUCUCUCAAACUUUACGAGUGCCACGUUGCUCUUAUCGCACAGCCUUGUCUAUUGUCAAAACUAGGGUUUUACUGUAUAUAUCCAAUCCUCCUAGUGCAGUUGCCCCAAGCCAUUGCUCAAUUUAUAUGUAGUUGAAUUGAAGGUAGCUUAGUAAGGUCAACACUCCAAUUUCCCCGCUGUGGAUCAAACAAGCUUAUUCAAUUCAACUCUCCUUCUUUUCUUCAGAAAAAAUGAAGCAGCGUCUGUCAAGGGAGCUGUCGGACUGCGUAGUUUACUGCAAGAGUGUCCACUUCAGCAGCUUCAAGCACUCCUGCAUUCACUCCAAGUUCUACGAGAUAUACUCCUUCACAGAGUCCAAAGCCCGCAAACACUUGAGAGAGGGGAAGAGUUUGUGCAUCACAAUGCCAGGCAGCUGACCAGGGUUUAUCCCAGUGGCUUCAGAACAGACUCCUCCAACUUAAACCCACAGGUGAUGUGGAACACAGGGACUCAAAUAGGUAGGUGAGGGCCAUUUUAGAUUGUUCUAAGGCACGACACAAUGAUUAAACAAAAUAUAAAUGUCCAAUUUCCCAA
RNAcentral lists this long non-coding RNA (1125 nucleotides) under Oncorhynchus kisutch (coho salmon). Its description in RNAcentral is "lncRNA (ENSOKIG00005050887.1)". The record is from RNAcentral. Lineage: Eukaryota; Metazoa; Chordata; Actinopteri; Salmoniformes; Salmonidae.